This is a long non-coding RNA of Portunus trituberculatus (swimming crab), 236 nucleotides long. RefSeq lists it as uncharacterized. The record is from RefSeq and is a predicted model, not a curated record. Lineage: Eukaryota; Metazoa; Arthropoda; Malacostraca; Decapoda; Portunidae. The transcript is spliced from 3 exons.
GGUGAGUACUAGCGGAAGUGACGACACCUGGGUACAGCGGCAGUGGCGUGGCGGUCGUGUUACUUGGGGAGUCAGUCAGUGAGGCAGCCCCGGCCACGCGGAACACAGGUGAUCCCGCGCUCAGGUGAAGGUAAGGAGUUGUGCUUGGUAUUGUGUGCUCGCAACGCAGACGCCCACGCAGCCUUGACACGUGAAGGAAGCGACAGGCCAGGCACUGUGAUGUGACGCCCUUCAGA